CAAUAGCGUAUAUUAAAGUUGUUGCGGUUAAAAGCUCGUAGUUGGAUUUCUGCCUGAGGCAGCCGGUCCGCACUUAGUGCGUGUAUCUGGUUUGGUUUGGGCAUCCUCUUGGGGAUCGUUGCUGUGCUUAGUUGCAUGGUGCGGAAUUCAAGACGUUUACUUUGAGGAAAUUAGAGUGGUUACGGCAAGCUAUCGCUUUGAAUACAUUAGCAUGGAAUAAUAAUAUAGGGCGUAAGUUCUAUCUUGUUGGUUUCUAGAACAUACGCAAUGAUUGAUAGGGACAGUUGGGGGCAUCAGUAUUCUGAAGCGAGAGGUGAAAUUCUUGGACCUUCGGAAGACUGACAGCUGCGAAAGCGUUUGUCCUAGGAUGUUCUCUUUAAUCAAGAACGAAGGUUGGGGGAGUCGAAGACGAUUAGAUACCGU
Molecule: ribosomal RNA, 423 nt
Filed under: uncultured eukaryote
Lineage: Eukaryota
Description: bacterial SSU rRNA
Rfam family: Eukaryotic small subunit ribosomal RNA
Source: RNAcentral